GGAUUAGAUACCCUGGUAGUCCACGCUGUAAACGAUGUCAACUAGCCGUUGGGGAUCUUAGUAUCUUUAGUGGCGUAGCUAACGCGCUAAGUUGACCGCCUGGGGAGUACGGUCGCAAGAUUAAAACUCAAAUGAAUUGACGGGGGCCCGCACAAGCGGUGGAGCAUGUGGUUUAAUUCGACGCAACGCGAAGAACCUUACCUGGUCUUGACAUCCUGCGAACUUUCUAGAGAUAGAUUGGUGCCUUCGGGAACGCAGUGACAGGUGCUGCAUGGCUGUCGUCAGCUCGUGCCG
Molecule: ribosomal RNA, 294 nt
Filed under: uncultured bacterium
Lineage: Bacteria
Description: partial 16S ribosomal RNA
Rfam family: Bacterial small subunit ribosomal RNA
Source: RNAcentral